CGGAGAGUUUGAUCCUGGCUCAGGACGAACGCUGGCGGCGUGCUUAACACAUGCAAGUCGAACGGUGAAGAGGAGCUUGCUCCUUGGAUCAGUGGCGAACGGGUGAGUAACACGUGAGUAACCUGCCCCAAACUCUGGGAUAAGCACUGGAAACGGUGUCUAAUACCGGAUACGAGCUUCAGCCGCAUGGCUAGGAGUUGGAAAGAAUUUCGGUUUGGGAUGGACUCGCGGCCUAUCAGCUAGUUGGUGAGGUAAUGGCUCACCAAGGCGACGACGGGUAGCCGGCCUGAGAGGGUGACCGGCCACACUGGGACUGAGACACGGCCCAGACUCCUACGGGAGGCAGCAGUGGGGAAUAUUGCACAAUGGGCGCAAGCCUGAUGCAGCAACGCCGCGUGAGGGACGACGGCCUUCGGGUUGUAAACCUCUUUUAGUAGGGAAGAAGCGAAAGUGACGGUACCUGCAGAAAAAGCACCGGCUAACUACGUGCCAGCAGCCGCGGUAAUACGUAGGGUGCAAGCGUUGUCCGGAAUUAUUGGGCGUAAAGAGCUCGUAGGCGGUUUGUCGCGUCUGCUGUGAAAACCCGAGGCUCAACCUCGGGCCUGCAGUGGGUACGGGCAGACU
RNAcentral lists this ribosomal RNA (624 nucleotides) under uncultured bacterium. RNAcentral's name for it is "bacterial SSU rRNA". It matches the Rfam family "Bacterial small subunit ribosomal RNA", at positions 1 to 642 of the family's 1533-position model. The record is from RNAcentral.